AGCUGGAAUCGCUAGUAAUCGCGAAUCAGAAUGUCGCGGUGAAUACGUUCCCGGGUCUUGUACACACCGCCCGUCACACCAUGGGAGUCGGAUAUGCCCGAAGCCGGUGACCUAACCGCAAGGAAGGAGCCGUCGAAGGUGGAGCCGAUGACUGGGGUGAAGUCGUAACAAGGUACC
This 177-nucleotide ribosomal RNA is filed under the name uncultured bacterium. RNAcentral's name for it is "partial 16S ribosomal RNA". It matches the Rfam family "Bacterial small subunit ribosomal RNA", at positions 1324 to 1500 of the family's 1533-position model. The record is from RNAcentral.